This is a long non-coding RNA of Physeter macrocephalus (sperm whale), 947 nucleotides long. RefSeq lists it as uncharacterized. NCBI's taxonomy places the organism in Eukaryota, Metazoa, Chordata, Mammalia, Artiodactyla, Physeteridae. The transcript is spliced from 5 exons. The record is from RefSeq and is a predicted model, not a curated record.
CCUUCACUUCCCGUAACGUAACACAGUGGAACCUAACGUACCUCAACUGCCGCAAAGAAGGGGCGCUACAGGUUGGGGCCGGGGGCAGCAAUGUAACCAACUAAAAAGCCACAUUUCUUGCUUCCCUUGCAACUAGGGGUAAUUUCAAUUGUUGCCAAUGAAAUGUAAGAAAAAGUUUGCUGACCCCUGGACUACAGCAACACCUUCAUUUUAUAUAUGAGGAAAAUGAGGCCCAGGAAGGUUAACAAAAGAUCCCGCAUGGUAAUAUGCGGGUUUUUAUUCCAAACCCAGCAGCCCCAUGAUAAUGGCCAAAGAUGAUACCAAGAAGUGGAAUUGCUGGGAUAUAUGGGCUUCCCUGGUGAUGCAGUAGUGGGGAAUCCACCUGCCAAUGCAGGGGUCGCGGGUUUAAGCCCUGGUCCAGGAAGAUCCCACAUGCCGCAGAGCAACUAAGCCCGUGCACCACAACUACUGAGCCUGCAUUCUAGACCCCAUAAGCCACAACCACAGAGCCCGAGUCCCACAAGUACUGAAGCCCAUGUGCCUAGAGCCCAUGCUCCACAAUAAGAGAAGCCACUGCAAUGAGAAGCCCGCGCACUGCAAUGAAGAGUAGCCCCUGCUCGCCACAACUGGAGAAAGCCUGCAUGCAGCAACGAAAGACCCAAUGCAGCCAAAAAUAAUAAAUAAAUAAAGAACUUAAAAAAAAAUUACUUUCAUAUACGUACGAGAAAAGACUGGAGGAAAAUGCAUUCAAAUGUUAAUAGUGGUUAUCACUGAGUGGUGGGGAUUAUGGAUACUUUUAUGUUUUCUUCAUGUUUUGUAUCAUCCAAAUUUCUAUAACUAUCAUAUUUUACCUUUAUGGUUAAAAAAACAGCAAUGAGGGGGCUUCCCUGGUGGCGCAGUGGUUGCGCGUCCGCCUGCCGAUGCAGGGGAACCGGGUUCGCGCCCCG